This 24-nucleotide non-coding RNA is filed under the name Mus musculus (house mouse). Lineage: Eukaryota; Metazoa; Chordata; Mammalia; Rodentia; Muridae. The record is from RNAcentral.
UGCUAAAGGCUCCACAAUCUCCUC